AGAAGCUCAGCUUAUCUAUCACAAAUCACAAGCUCUCGCUUGCUUCUUCAUCAUCAUCAAUGGCGAAGGAUCCCGUCCGAGUUCUCGUCACCGGCGCCGCAGGGCAAAUCGGAUAUGCUCUGGUACCUAUGAUUGCCAGGGGAGUGAUGCUGGGUCCUGAUCAACCUGUUAUCUUGCACAUGCUGGAUAUCCCCCCAGCUGCAGAAUCUCUGAAUGGAGUUAAAAUGGAGUUGGUUGAUGCAGCAUUUCCUCUUCUUAAAGGGGUCGUUGCCACCACCGAUGUUGUCGAGGGCUGUACGGGGGUCAAUAUUGCAGUCAUGGUUGGUGGUUUUCCCAGGAAAGAGGGAAUGGAAAGGAAAGAUGUGAUGACAAAAAAUGUCUCUAUUUACAAAUCUCAAGCUUCCGCACUCGAGAAGUAUGCUGCUCCUAAUUGCAAGGUACUGGUUGUGGCUAACCCUGCAAACACCAAUGCCUUGAUCUUGAAGGAGUUUGCUCCAUCUAUCCCCGAAAAGAACAUAACCUGCUUGACAAGGCUAGAUCAUAACAGGGCUCUGGGUCAGAUAUCUGAGCGACUCAAUGUUCAAGUCAGUGAUGUUAAGAAUGUGAUCAUAUGGGGAAAUCAUUCUUCCUCUCAGUAUCCUGAUGUGAACCAUGCAACCGUAAAAAUAUCAGGGGAGGAAAAGCCUGUCCGAGCUCUUGUUGCCGAUGAUGCUUGGCUUAAUGGAGAAUUCAUCACCAUUGUUCAACAACGUGGUGCUGCAAUCAUCAAGGCGCGGAAGCUCUCAAGUGCAUUAUCUGCUGCUAGCUCUGCAUGUGAUCACAUACGUGAUUGGGUCCUUGGCACUCCGGAGGGAACCUGGGUUUCCAUGGGUGUGUACUCUGAUGGUUCAUACAGUGUGCCUGCUGGUCUGAUUUAUUCUUUCCCAGUGACUUGCCGUAAUGGCGAGUGGACCAUUGUGCAAGGACUUCCCAUUGAUGAGUUUUCGAGGAAGAAGCUGGAUGCAACUGCGGAUGAGCUGUCUGAGGAGAAGACUCUGGCAUACUCAUGCCUUAAUUAAGUUGUGAUGCCGAGUUUUUAUGGAUUAUGUUCUCUUUCGAAGAUCUGAUUUUCUUGGUGAGGGAAGACCAUGGCAUGCGAGACAAGUUUAUGAAUAAAACUACUAGUGUGGAAACAGUAGAAUAUCAUCUCAUGGUGGUGUUACAUUUUGAAUUUCCGUCUCUUCACCCAUUUGCUCAUAAAUUUUUAACUGUACUGGUUUAGCCUUGAGACAUUUUCAAUGGAUGUGUAGACUUUUAUAGUCUUGUUUUGAAAUUUUAGAGGUUUCUCA
Molecule: unclassified non-coding RNA, 1328 nt
Filed under: Hevea brasiliensis (rubber tree)
Lineage: Eukaryota; Viridiplantae; Streptophyta; Magnoliopsida; Malpighiales; Euphorbiaceae
Source: RNAcentral